RNAcentral lists this long non-coding RNA (395 nucleotides) under Eucalyptus grandis. RNAcentral's name for it is "long non-coding RNA (EGRA_LNC000989)". Lineage: Eukaryota; Viridiplantae; Streptophyta; Magnoliopsida; Myrtales; Myrtaceae. The record is from RNAcentral.
CAAAGCAUGAUGGCAACAAUGACUAAACCAACAAUAACCCAUGUUGGGGUGUUAUUGUCAUUAGAUGAUAUGGAUUUCGGAUCGAUCCAUGCCAAUGGUGGAGGAAAGUACUGGAAACUCGGAUAAGUUUGUGGAUAGUUAUUGUUCUCCAUCAAGAAAACUCUGUGGAGGUAGUUCAAUGCGAGCGGUGAGUCUACAAACAUAUUAUGAAGCAUCAAUCCAAGAGCCAAUUUACCUUUUUAUCAUGAUGAAUUGAUCGUAUGAUCCAAGCACGAGAUCGAAAUGAUUCAACACGGAAUUCAGCGAGAUAUAAUGUGAGUGGAAGUAGUUGCUUGCACAUAUACCCUCACAAGAAGAGCCAAGCAAAUCGGUGAAUGAUGUUGCGCCAAUGCUUA